GACGAACGCUGGCGGCGUGCUUAACACAUGCAAGUCGAACGGAAAGGCCCUGCUUGCAGGGUACUCGAGUGGCGAACGGGUGAGUAACACGUGGGUGAUCUGCCCUGCACUUCGGGAUAAGCCUGGGAAACUGGGUCUAAUACCGGAUAGGAGCCAUUCUUAGUGUGAUGGUUGGAAAGUUUUUUCGGUGUAGGAUGAGCUCGCGGCCUAUCAGCUUGUUGGUGGGGUAAUGGCCUACCAAGGCGGCGACGGGUAGCCGGCCUGAGAGGGUGGACGGCCACAUUGGGACUGGGAUACGGCCCAGACUCCUACGGGAGGCAGCAGUGGGGAAUAUUGCACAAUGGGCGCAAGCCUGAUGCAGCGACGCCGCGUGGGGGAUGACGGCCUUCGGGUUGUAAACUCCUUUCGCUAGGGACGAAGCUUUUUGUGACGGUACCUAGAUAAGAAGCACCGGCUAACUACGUG
This 465-nucleotide ribosomal RNA is filed under the name uncultured bacterium. Its description in RNAcentral is "partial 16S ribosomal RNA". It matches the Rfam family "Bacterial small subunit ribosomal RNA", at positions 28 to 507 of the family's 1533-position model. The record is from RNAcentral.